GAGAGGGGCAGUGGGAGAAGCAGGCUCCGUGCAGGGAGCCUGACAUGGGACUUGAUCCCAGGUCUCCAGGAUCACACCCUGGGCUGAAGGUGGCGCUAAACCGCUGGGCACUGGGGUUGCCCCCUCAAUACUUUUAUUUUAUUUUAUUUUUUAAAAGAUUGUAUUUAUUUAUUCAUGAGAGAUACAGGGAGAGGCAGAGACACAGGCAGAGGGAGAAGCAGGCUCCCUUUGGGGAGCCCAAUGUGGGACUCGAUCCCAGGACUCCAGGAUCAUGCCCUGAGCUGAAAGCAGAUGCUCAUCCUCUAGCCACCCAGGUGCCCCACUAAGCCACCCAGGUGCCCCUCAAUACUUUUAAUGUCCCCCUCUUUCUCCUCUUCUUCUGGGAGUUCUAUCACUUGUACAAUGGUAUGUUUGAUAGUGUCCCUCAAGUCUCUGAGGCUUUGUUCAUUUUGCUUUAUUCUUUUUCUUCCUUGUUCUUCAGAUUAGACAGUUUCUACUAAUCUAGUGCCAAAUUUGCUGGUUAUUUUCUUCUGUCACUUCAAAUCUGUUGGGCUCUUUUGGUAAAUUUUUUAUUUCAGUUAUUGUACUUUGCAAGUCUAAAUUUUCCACUUGGUUUUUCUAAUUUGCAUCUCUUUAGUGAUAUGCUCUAUUUGAUGAUAAAUGCUAUAAUAUUUUUCCUUUAUUUUAAAAUAUGACUUCCCUUAAUUCUUUGAACAUAGUUAUAAUUCUUCUUUCAAAGUCUUUUUUCUGGUAAGUCCAACAUUUGCUCCCCUCCCAAUCCCUGAGGCAAUUUCUAUUGACUGCUUUAAUGCCCUGUGUAUAGGUCAUACUUUUCUGUUUCUCUGCAUGUUACUUUUAUGUUAAAAACUGGACAUUUUAGGGGCACCUGGGUGGCUCAGUCAAUUAAGCACCUGACUCUUGAUUUCAGCUCUGGUCAUGAUCUCAGGGUUGUGAGAUCAAGCCCCAUGUCAGGCUCUGCACUGGGCAGGGAACCUGCUUGAGAUUCUCUCUUCCUCUCCUUUUGCCCCUCCCCUAAAAAAAAGAAAAAAA
This 1050-nucleotide long non-coding RNA is filed under the name Canis lupus familiaris (dog). RNAcentral's name for it is "lncRNA (ENSCAFG00000058238.1, ENSCAFG00805013410.1)". The record is from RNAcentral. Lineage: Eukaryota; Metazoa; Chordata; Mammalia; Carnivora; Canidae.